Biomphalaria pfeifferi is the source of this 682-nucleotide non-coding RNA. The record is from the annotation of a GenBank genome assembly. NCBI's taxonomy places the organism in Eukaryota, Metazoa, Mollusca, Gastropoda, Planorbidae.
CCCUCCGCUUUUUUUUUAUAUAUCCUUAUCGUUAAAAUGGCGACAUUCCGUUAGUGCCAUAGACGUCUUUGAACUUUGACCCUCAAUUCACGCAAACGUCACAGGCAGAAGUCAUUAGCUAGGCACAUUGUACGACACUCAGUGUUUGUAGACAUCGACUCGUAAUAGUAGUGCUUUUGGACUUUGGGAUAGGGAUUUUUUUUUAAUGGUAAACUACGGUGAUGCCCGGUCUAAGACACUGGGGCCACAUCUGGCCCCAUAACACAUUGCUACCCUGGCCCAGAGUGCAUGAAAGAGACAUGUUUUUUUUUUUACGGGGGAAGGGGGUAUUAAAUUGGUCCGAGACCCGCUUGUCGCAAAAUUCUAAGGCCCCUUCCCCCAUGGAUGAAAUAAUGGGAAUCAUUGGACUAACAGAACUGAUGCAUGGUUUACCAACAUUACAUGGCAAAAUUUCAUUUUUUUAAAAUAUAGAGACUCUUCAUUCACAGUGGAAAUUUCAUAAAUCACCAGCUGAAGAGUAAAAACAACUAUUGAUAUUUUAUUUUUAACACCAUUGGCGGCUUAUUGAGUUUGAAGUUCAGUUUCUGUGUAGAAUAAAAUUUGUCGGCGUGUAUAUAUCUUUAUUGUUUUAUUGUAGAGAUAUCAGUUGGUUACAAAUAAACUAAGGUUAAUUAUCAAUAAC